RNAcentral lists this long non-coding RNA (1330 nucleotides) under Homo sapiens (human). RNAcentral's name for it is "long independently transcribed non-coding RNA 2642, transcript variant 18 (LINC02642)". The record is from RNAcentral. Lineage: Eukaryota; Metazoa; Chordata; Mammalia; Primates; Hominidae.
AGGAUCAGCAUGACUGUAGUGUUCCUGGCUUAACCCUGAGAGGUUGCUGUUCCCAGUGACUAUCUAGGCUGAAGCCCAUGUAGGAUUUGAAGAGACUGAUCCAGGCUUUAUGAGUGGCUGCGACCAUGCUGUCCAAUUAGUAUGGUGUCACCAAUAUAUGGAUCCAUGCGAUUGAUUAUCUGUGGAGUGUCCGGAUGGUCCAGGACCCUUCAGAUUAUAUUACGAUGGAGAACAGGAAAAUUAACCAAAACCUGGGCAAGACUGCGAAUGUGUGCUACUAUCCAUCCCAGGUGAAUGUGAACUUCUUUGGAUUCCCUUUAUUGAUGGUUCUGGAGGCCGGAGUUGGAAAUCAGUUUCACUGGGCACACAUGGAGGUGUUUGAAGGGCUGCCCGUGCCAGAGGCUCUCAGGGAGAAUCCCUUCCUUGUCUGUUCCAGCUCUACCUCCUCCUCUGCUGUGUGAGUAAAACCUCCCUCGGCCUCUUUGAUUAGGAUAAGGUGUAUUUAGUGUCUAGCAGGACAAUCCAGGAAAUUCUUCCCAUCUCAAGAUCCCUAACUUGAUCCCUUCUGCAAAGACCUGCUUUCACUCCCAUCUGCAAACACCAUUUCCGGGUUCCAGGGAUAAGCCCUGACAUCUGUGGGUGGCCGUUAUUCAGUUACCGACAGUGUGGCAUGAUGAAAAUGAAGUGUUAAAACAAGGACUGCAGUAUUGUUUAUUCCAGCAAAUGGUGAGUGGUCCAUCCUUCUCCAAGCCCUUUCUCUUCUUCUUCUCAUGGUCUCUGGCAUCUGGGAGAGUCCACGUGGCCUGGGUUGGGCUAACAGAUACCAGCAGAAGUGAUGCGUACAACUUCCGGCAACCUAGGUGCACUUGUCUCGCCCUCCCUGGGAGCAGAUCCAUCCUCAAACCUGCAGACAAGGAUAAUGCUGUAGUGGGUACUGAGAAAAAAAAAAAAAAAAAAAAGAAGGAACCUAAAGGAAAUGUUGGAGCAGAAAUACAUUUCUAUCUUAUUCAAGCUGGUAUAUUUUGGACUUCUGUUGCUACAACAGUUUCAUCUUUAUCCUAACGAAUACCCAUACAUGUAUUAGUAAAAAUAUAAAGGUGUCCAGGGAAUAAUGUCAGACUGAGGAGAAUGGGGCUUGGGGGAAGACGGGUGGCAAGAGGAUGUGUAAGGAAUACACAGUUGUAUCUGCAAAAUGUUUUCACUCUUAAGUUCAGUGGCAAACUAACGGAUGUUCUUUAUAUUAUUCUCUAUGCUUUUUUCAAUAUCUGAUUUAUUUUGCUUUAAAAAUCUAUACUAAUAGUGGAUGAGAAAAUAAAUGUCAUAGAAGGGG